GCGUCGGGUCUGUGAAGGGUGAGGGUAAAAAAGAGAAAGGGGGUUGGGUUGGUGAGGGGAGGGGAGGGUUAGGCAAGGGGGAAGGGAUAAGGAGGAGUGAUAGGUGGCGAUGGAAUGGGGUCGACGGGGGUGGUUAGGCAAGGGGGAAGGGGCAGUUGGCUCGUGCGUGGGUGGUGGUGGGUUGAAGAAGGAAGGAAGGGAAAAAGAGAAAAGGAAGGAAAAAGAAAAAAAAGGGAAAUGGGACGGGGAAGGGGUGAUGGAGUGGGAGGGUGACGGUGACGGUGACGGUGACGGUCAUGGUGGCAGUGAACGACGGUUAGUGAUGGGGAUUUGUAAAGAGCUUGAGCGACCGAUGGUUAGGGGAAGAGGUGGAAAAGAAGACAAAGUCAAAGAAAAUUAGGAUUUGAGGGCUAAAAAGGGUGACAAGGGUGACACAAUCG
Molecule: long non-coding RNA, 440 nt
Filed under: Gossypium raimondii (Peruvian cotton)
Lineage: Eukaryota; Viridiplantae; Streptophyta; Magnoliopsida; Malvales; Malvaceae
Description: long non-coding RNA (GRAI_LNC006174)
Source: RNAcentral